AUUGUUUGUUUGCUUGUUUUGGUAUGUUGAGAGAUGCUAUAAAAGGAGCAGUCCCAGUCCAGAUAGAGAACACAUUCUGAAGACAUUGUAUCCUUGCAUCUAGCUGAAUACCUGCAAAAAAUGGCUUCCUUCAAGUUAUCAGUGAUUGCCUUAUUGGCCAUUGGGCUUUACCUGGACACGGUCUGUGCUGCUUCUAUAACCUUGUAAGUGCACUUAAUCUGAUUAUUUUCUCACCAUAACUUAAUUUAGUGAGUCAAUUAUCGGUUUGUUGGUUUUUUAUUUCAUUAAUUCAUUGCAAAUGAAUGGUAUCGCUCUGUCUUUCCAUUUCAGGGAAGAAAAAGUUGAGACAAUAGUGAACCGGUAAGCAUCCCUUUUCUCUUCUGAAUCCCUCAACCUCUCCCUUCCAUUAACGACCUCUCCUUUACUCAGUUCAAUGGUAUCUCUUCUUCCCUUUACAGUACAAUAACUGACCUUUCAGAAUCAGCUGCUGAGGUUCUAAGCAGUGACGCUGCGGUCGAUUUGGAACAAGUGGCUGAGGAAAUUAACAACACUGCAGCGAUGAAAGAGCUUGAUGCAGAAAUUGUUGAAUUUCUAAACAGUGACGCUGUGGUUGAAUUGGAACAAAAUAAUGCGGAAUUUCUAAACAGUUCAGUGGUGACUGACGUUUAUGAUGCAGUUGCCAAACUUGUAAACAGUCCAGCUAUGGCUGAACUAGGAGAAGCACUCCAGGCAGUUCUGGAAAGUUCAGAUAUGGAAAAGAUUUCUACAGCAUUGGAGCAUAUUCUGGAAUCGUAAGUAACCAUUCGCUCUCUUCAAUGAUCGAAUCUAAUCUAAUUAUCUAAUUUAGUACAAACAUUAUCAAUGAAUCAGUAUGUAUGGAAUUUGUGGUAUCAAAUCAAUGGCGUCGCUUUUUUUCCUUUACAGGGACGAUUUCGCUUCUCUACAUGUUGCAUUGACAGUGGCGUAAGAUUCCCCUCUGCUCAAUCCCUCUACCUCCGUCAUAUGCAUCUCUAUAUUAUCUCUAAUUUAAUACAUUAUAUUAUCUGGUCAACUUAAACAAAAUACAAUUCUAUAGAAAGGCCAUUGCCGUAAAACUGUACUAUAGUACAAUCCACUGUUGUACAUGUCUUAAUUAGUAUACUUAAAGGGCUAAAACACAAUGCCAUUUUGGCACCUUAGCGCAGAACUAAUGUAUGACUUUAAUGGUAGCUUACAUUAAGAGGUACAAAUUUAAUCUUACGAAGUGUCAACUUUCUCUUUCGUUUUUUCAGUUCUGACCAGGAGGAGAGUGCAUUUGUCACCGAAGCAGACGCUGAAUUAUCUCCUUCUCUUAAGGGAUUUGCACAGUGCUUGGAAUCUUCUGCUCAGUAGUGGCUUUUGGUCCACUUCCUACAGAGGUGCACUCUCCUUGCUACCUCGGAACGCAUCUUUCAAGCAUCUCCACGGUGAACAGGAACCAAAUGCUGUGAUGUUCUUUCUCUCUUCUCAAGAUAACUGAAAAGUGAUCAACCUUAAAAUAAAAACUUUCUUGCAUUCAA
Long non-coding RNA from Gadus macrocephalus (Pacific cod), 1538 nucleotides. RefSeq lists it as uncharacterized. The record is from RefSeq and is a predicted model, not a curated record. The transcript is spliced from 11 exons. NCBI's taxonomy places the organism in Eukaryota, Metazoa, Chordata, Actinopteri, Gadiformes, Gadidae.